Molecule: transfer RNA, 75 nt
Filed under: Candidatus Iainarchaeum sp.
Lineage: Archaea; Nanobdellati; Candidatus Iainarchaeota; Candidatus Iainarchaeia; Candidatus Iainarchaeales; Candidatus Iainarchaeaceae
Description: tRNA-Arg
Rfam family: tRNA
About the family: Transfer RNA (tRNA) molecules are approximately 80 nucleotides in length. Their secondary structure includes four short double-helical elements and three loops (D, anti-codon, and T loops).
Source: RNAcentral
GGGUGUGUAGCUCAGCCUGGAUAGAGCACCUGCCUUCUAAGCAGGUGGUCGGGGGUCCGAAUCCUCCCACACCCG